This 505-nucleotide ribosomal RNA is filed under the name uncultured bacterium. Its description in RNAcentral is "partial 16S ribosomal RNA". It matches the Rfam family "Bacterial small subunit ribosomal RNA", at positions 28 to 507 of the family's 1533-position model. The record is from RNAcentral.
GACGAACGCUGGCGGCGUGCCUAAUACAUGCAAGUAGAACGCACAGUUUAUACCGUAGCUUGCUACACCAUAGACUGUGAGUUGCGAACGGGUGAGUAACGCGUAGGUAACCUGCCUGGUAGCGGGGGAUAACUAUUGGAAACGAUAGCUAAUACCGCAUAAUAUUAAUUAUUGCAUGAUAAUUGAUUGAAAGAUGCAACUGCAUCACUACCAGAUGGACCUGCGUUGUAUUAGCUAGUAGGUGAGGUGACGGCUCACCUAGGCGACGAUACAUAGCCGACCUGAGAGGGUGAUCGGCCACACUGGGACUGAGACACGGCCCAGACUCCUACGGGAGGCAGCAGUAGGGAAUCUUCGGAAAUGGACGAAAGUCUGACCGAGCAACGCCGCGUGAGUGAAGAAGGUUUUCGGAUCGUAAAGCUCUGUUGUAAGAGAAGAACGGGUGUGAGAGUGGAAAGUUCACACUGUGACGGUAUCUUACCAGAAAGGGACGGCUAACUACGUG